RNAcentral lists this transfer RNA (66 nucleotides) under Hadrosciurus pyrrhinus (Junin red squirrel). RNAcentral's name for it is "tRNA-Pro". It matches the Rfam family "tRNA". From Rfam's summary of the family: Transfer RNA (tRNA) molecules are approximately 80 nucleotides in length. Lineage: Eukaryota; Metazoa; Chordata; Mammalia; Rodentia; Sciuridae. The record is from RNAcentral.
CAGGGAGUAGUUUAGAAAGAAUAUCAGCUUUGGGAGUUGAAGGCGGAAUUUAUGUUUCUUCCCUGA